This 345-nucleotide unclassified non-coding RNA is filed under the name soil metagenome. RNAcentral describes it as "partial contains 5.8S ribosomal RNA, internal transcribed spacer 2, and large subunit ribosomal RNA". The stretch from base 1 to 120 matches the Rfam family "5.8S ribosomal RNA", at positions 35 to 154 of the family's 154-position model. The record is from RNAcentral.
GAUGAAGAACGUAGCGAAAUGCGAUAAGUAGUGUGAAUUGCAGAAUUCAGUGAAUCAUCGAAUCUUUGAACGCACAUUGCGCCCUUUGGUAUUCCUUAGGGCAAGCCUGUUCGAGCGUCAUUUCAACCCUCAAGCCCUGCUUGGUGUUGGGCGUUUGUCCUGCCUCCGCGCGGGACUCGCCUCAAAGACAUUGGCGGCCGGUUUCCCUUUGCAGGCCACGAGCGCAGCACAGCGAGCGCUCUACGUGGACGCGGGGUCGGCGCACCAGAAGCCCUCUUUCUCGAAUUUUGACCUCGGAUCAGGUAGGGAUACCCGCUGAACUUAAGCAUAUCAAUAAGCGGAGGA